RNAcentral lists this ribosomal RNA (207 nucleotides) under uncultured bacterium. Its description in RNAcentral is "partial 16S ribosomal RNA". It matches the Rfam family "Bacterial small subunit ribosomal RNA", at positions 568 to 774 of the family's 1533-position model. The record is from RNAcentral.
CGCGUAGGCGGCUUGUUAAGUCUGGAGUGGAAGUCCUCUUUUUAAGGGAGGAAUUGCUUUGGAAACUGGCGAGCUUGAGUGCAGGGGAGGUUAUCGGAAUUCCCGGUGUAGCGGUGAAAUGCGUAGAGAUCGGGAGGAACACCAGUGGCGAAGGCGGGUAACUGGACUGCAACUGACGCUGAGGCGCGAAAGUGUGGGGAGCAAACA